This 6824-nucleotide long non-coding RNA is filed under the name Sus scrofa (pig). Its description in RNAcentral is "lncRNA (ENSSSCG00065009694.1)". The record is from RNAcentral. Lineage: Eukaryota; Metazoa; Chordata; Mammalia; Artiodactyla; Suidae.
CUUUUUAGGGCUACUCAUGUGGCAUAUGGAAGUUUCAGGGCUAGGCAUCGAAGCAGAGCUGCAGAUGCCAGCCACAGCCACAGCCAUAGCAAUGCAGGAUCCAAGCCACAUCUGUGACCUACACCACAGCUCAUGGCAAUGCCAGAUCCUUAACCCUCUGAGCGAGGCCAGGGAUCAAACCUGCGUCCUCACCUCCUUCCAUAUGCUGCAGGUGUGGCCCUAAAAAAAGAAAGAAAAUAAUGAGAAGCUACGUGGAGUCAGGCUGAGGGAGAGGCCAGCAAGUGCCAGUUGUUAGAAGGUCAGGGGAAAAGUGAAGUUCAAGACAAAAAGUGAUGCUGAGCUCAUCUGCGCCUCAGUCAGCUCCGGCAGCUUCUCCUAGAAGGUGCAACAGAGUCAUUCUCUUCUGAAAGCACACUGACAUGUGUUCGGGGUGGAGAGUGGUUUAGAAUAUUCAGGAGUUCCUGUUGUGGCUCAUCAGUAACGAAUCCGACUAGUAGCCAUGAGGAUGUGGGUUCGAUCCUUGGUCUCGCUCAGUGGGUUAAGGAUCUGGCAUUGCUGUGAGCUGUGACAUAGGCCAGUAGCUGCAGCUCCAAUUCCACCCCUAGCCUGGGAACCUCCAUAUGCCUUGGGUGUGGCCCUAAAAAGCAAAAAAAAAAAAAAAAAAAAAAAUGUUGAGCAUUAUGUUUUAAUAACUGUAAUAGAGUUUUAUUUUCUUCCUAAGUCUUCCAGAGGACACUUUUGGGGGUGCAAAGACCCCACUAGUGCACCAAACUUAGCUUGUGUCCUCUGCCGUCAUCUGGCAGGUCAGCCUGAUUCCCACAUUCAGAGACUCCCUCCUCCCAGAAAUACUCCCUUCCUGCCACGCCCAAGUCCACGACACCCGUCUCCCUGCUCCUUCUCCCUCUCUGCCUGCCUCUGUCUCUGUGGACGUAGCCUCUUCCCCUGGCUGUUCCAUGUUGGCGAUGCUCACGCCCAGUCCUGGGCUCGCCUUACAUCUGUUCUAUAUUCUCGUCUCAGAGGCUGGAGGCUAAGCCCAAUGCCUGUCAGCACUUCUCUGCUUUCGUGACUUUUGUACCAGGACUGGGCUUGAAUGUAGAUGAGAGGAAACUCCAAGUAUCCGGAGCCUGAAUACUAGAAAAGAGCACUUCUUGUCAGGGAACUGGCCUGCCUGUCACUCUGCCAGUCUCAACAGAGGACUUUUUACCUCAUGGUCCAAGAUGACUUCCUGGGCUCCAGCCAUCACAACCACAUUUCUGUUAGCAGGAAGGAAGAGGUCAGGGGGAAGGACACAGCCUUUCCUUUAGGGGUACUUCACAGAAGUCAUACAUGACACGGCUUACACUUCAUGGGUUAAAAUUCAGUCAGGUGGCCACUCUAGCUCAAGGGAGGUUUGGAAACGUAUGGCGGCCCCUAAAAAUCAGAUGUUCUUCUAAAACGACACAAGGGGUUAGUGGAUGGAGAGCAGGGCACGACUAGUCUUUGCUGCAUCUCCCGGAUACAUACCUUCAGGCCAGGCUUCUCCGUAGCUCCUGCUGCUUUGGUACCCAAGACAUCUCAGAAUCAAAUAUCCAAGGCUGAACGCAUGAGCUCUCCCUAACCUGUGCCACUGCCCUUACUUCCUUCCCCUGGUAAAGGGCACAGCCACCAGUGCAGCCGGCAACUAGGGGCCAUGCCUGGCUCUUAAAACAGAGAGCAUCGUCUGUUUGCAGUUCAUCCUUGCUUCCCCGGGGCAGAGUCCAAUCCCCUGCCCCCUGCCUUUGGGUUUGGCCACUUGUCAUCCUUGGGCUGAUGGUAAAUGAACAGACGCUUGUUCGGCCUUGGCUGGCCGGGGGCUUGAAGGGCACCUGUAUGUUUUUGAUUGGUCUCUUGUCCUUCCACCAUCUGCCAUGGAACCCAGAUAACUGCAGGUUCUAGAAGGAGAGACCUAUGGAUCACCUACGAGCUGAAGCAGAUGUGCCCCAAGCCACCCGCAGACCUGUAACGAGAAAAGUAAGGGGUGGCUGUAACCCUUGAGAAUUUGGGGUUGUUUGUUAUGCAGCAUCACAGUGGAAGCCACUGUAACUGUUGUUUCAUUACAGCAGAAACCUAAUUAGUCUAAUUGUCUUGUACUUCCGUUCCUGCUGCUGCAUUUAGUCCUGUCAGUUUAUCUCAGUAGUAUCUCUGGAAUCUAAUCACAUCUCCAUCUCCAGGGCUGCCGUUAUCUUAGCCCAAGCUGUGGCCACUUUUUGCCUGGACCACUGCAAAACCUCCGGCCUGGGCUCACACCUCUGUUCUGGCCCCUUGGUUCACAGCUCCCCACCCCGCACGCUCCCCCUCCCUCCCCAUUCGGUCCAGGAUGUGAUGGACUCACUUGGGAUAAACUUGAUGCCCCGGAUCUCUUUGGGCCUUUGCUGCCCGGUUCACUGGAUGCUUGGCUCUUGCAUAUCCCUAGAGCUUUGGCUCUCACAGCUCUUAUCUCCGGGCUGGAAGUCAACGGCCAAACCUUGACCCCUGUCUUUGUCUUUGUCAUCCAGGAAAGCGCAGUCCUCAUCCUCUCCGGGCAGAGCCGUGCUGGUUCAGGAGAAAAAAAAAAAAAAAAGCACAGUUAGACAUGAAUCUAUCUGAAAAAUAUCUUGAUGCAUGGUAACGCCACCGUCCCUGUCCCCUGAAAACUCUUCAAUAGCUUCCUGCUGAUCAUAAAGAGCCAAGUCUUCAACAUGGCCCCCAAUGGUCUGGCUUUGACCUUGGCUCUGCUGCUGAACUCCAGCCCCUGCAGCUGCAGUCUGGACCUUGGAGGACUGUGCCCCGUCUCCCAGGCAGGUUUCCCUCCUCUGAGGAGCCCCUCUUGACCCACCCAGUCUCUGUGAUAAACACCCUCAGCCUUACUCCUUUGAUCUGAUCCAUUUCUUUCACUUGUGGGUUAUUUAGCUACCAUCUCGCUCUCCCUGAGUCUAUAAGCUGCAUGAGAACUGAUGUAUCAAUUGCCCUCGGUGAAUGAAUGAAUGAAUGGGACAGAUGGAUAAACGGGUGGGUGCAGGGAUGAGUUACUGGUUAAAGGCAAUCUUGCAACACUAGGUCCUAAUCCACUUGGGUCCAUCAGAGUGAUGGAGGGGCAGACACAGCCGAUGAAUGGUUGGAGUGUACAGCUGCCCAUUUGGGAGGAUUUGAAAUGGAAAAACGAAGUCCUCCUAAAUCACCCGCUUCCGCCCUCUGGAAAUGCUACCACUUAGUGUUAUUCCUCUGUGCUGGUCCUCGAGAAUCUUAGACUGAAAUUCCAACAAUUCUAAGAGAGUUCAGGCACGCAAGCUGUACUUCAGGCUGUGGAAGGCACAGCUGAGCCCUGGAGAUGGGAGGCAGGGAGGAUGGGGAGCAGGACACGUGGGGAGGGAGCUGCAGGGAGGAGGACCCUGGGAGGGAGUCAGGUGCUCCACUCCGGGGUGUCUGCAGCUUCACAGACUUGCCAACAUCCCAUCCCUUUACUUUUAUGCUUCUUGAUCCAGCAACAAGUCAUUUCACUGUUUGGGGUUCUCCCCCCAGGGGACAAGGACACAAACACAAAUGGGGGAACUUCUUUAAAGGCAACUGGAAACACAUGGACACAGAGAUGGGUGGUUCAGCAUCUGAACAGAUCCUCUUGGAAAACUCACUCAUUCAUCCAUUCACUCAUUAAGGAAGUGCUACUGUCGGCCACGUGACUGGCCCUCGGCACUGGAAACUCAGACGGAACCAUGUUCUUACCUCUAUAGAAUAGCUGUUAUUUCCCACACGGGCUUUUGGAGAAAAAGACAGGCAUUCUUCUGGGUCCACCCAGACGCCCCUGGCUCGUGACUGCCUGGAAGCAGAGGGGGGUGGGGAUCUGGGGAAAGUUGGGACGAUAGGGAGAGGAAGCAGUAUUCUCCUUCCCCAUCGUUCUAAAGCUUUGGUGCCAGGACACGGGAAGAGGAGGGGAGAGAGGGAUGGGGUUAGACCCUGGACUCUAGGAAGUGGCAUCACUGUGGUUUGAGUCACUCUGAUGGCCUGAUGCCGGCCUGGAGCACUGAAGCUUUGCUGCCGAGAGAGAAAAGGUGCCUGACCUGCAAAGGAGAGGUGAACGUGCUGGUGAUAUGAAAAUCAGUAAAUCAGCUGCAUCUUGUCUCAUUUCACUUAUUUUUCUUUUGUUUCCGAUAUUCAAUCUCUCCCCUUCCUCAGGUAUGGAAGAGCUGGAACCCGCAUACUCUGGCAUCCUACCCCAACGACGUUCCUUCUAUUUCUUUUCUUACUUUUCUUACACAUUCCUUCCCCCCAGGCCAUUCCAGGGGGCAUGGACAAAAAUAAAGCCAUUCUGCGAUUUCAGUAAAAGCCAUGUCAUCCCUUCCUAAAGCACCGCGCUGCUUUGAAAAAUCAAUAUUCCUCUGCUGGCCAUUUCCCAUAAUGCAGUUUGUUCAACAAACAAAAUUUGAGAAAGCAAAACUUUGUGAGAACAAUUUCAUUCCUCUAAGUUCUCCUUAAUUUCCUACCCUGCAAGGUUUCUAAGACUCUCUCCUCAUUGGUGGCUAAGGAAGGAAGUCCAGAAAAGCUGGCCUUUGAGUUCCCGUCAUGGCGCAGCAGAAACAAAUCUGAAUAGGAACCAUGAGGUUGAGGGUUCGACCCCUGGCCUCACUCAGUGGCUUAGGGAUUCUGCGUGGCUGUGGCUGUGGUGUAGGCCGGCAGCUACAGCUCCCACUGGACCCCUAGCCAGGGAAGCUCCACAUGCCAUGGGUGCAGCCCUAAAAAGAACAACAACAAAAAGUAACUAGAAAGAGCACUUGGCAGAGUCGGGGGAGGAGGCUGAGGGGGGGCGGAAUGGGAGGUGAACAGAGCCCAUUCUCAGGUGGAAGCGAGGGUCCAGGGCCACACAGAAUCACAGUCAUGAAGAGACCCUGACGGUAGCCCCAGGUGGAAUGUACAACACCCCAGCCAGGUGGGGGGACCCCAGGUGCACGCGCUUAGUGACACAGCAGCAGAGAGGGCGGGGGAAGCUUCGCCAGCAGUAAAGCACCCGCACCAGGGAAAGACCGGAGCAUGAAAGCCAAGAGAGAAGAUGCCACGUGCAGGGCAUGGAUGGAGAGAACGCGACCUGGCACCGUGACCCUGAAGCAGAGGGUGGAGAAGAGGACCAGAAGGUGGACUCGGAGACGUACACGAGAAACACCCCGAACGGAACUGACUCUGCAGGCGCAGCGCACAUGCCACGUUCUUGUAGAUUUUGACAUGCAGGGCUCUGUGCCAAGGCAGAUCCUGGAGAAGCUGUCGAACUUGAGGCCUAAAGAAUGCUCCAGGCACCCAGGAAAACACAAAUCAACUACCAAAGACACAAAUGAGACUGACCUCAGAAUUCUUCACAGCAAUCAGAGCCUUAAGAUAUCAGAGCAGGAGUUCCCCGGGGGUUCAGAUGGUCAAGGACCUGGCAUUGUCUCUGUUGUGGCCUGGAUUCAGUCCCUGGCCUGGGAACUUCCACAUGUCAUGGGUGUGACCAAAACAAAACGGCAACAAAAACAUCAAGGGUCACGUCUACCACGUUCUGAAAGAAGUGCAACCUAAGACAAUUACAGCCCAGAGAGGUGUCAGUCAAACGUAAAGGCAGCAGACAGACAUCUUCAGGCAGUACCAUGGGUCUCGCUAAAAGGAUAUUUUACAGGGAAAACUUUCCCACUGAUAGAUGACUUAAUUUAAAAACAAACACCAUCAGGAAUAGGAAGCUUUGAUGAAAGACUGACAGGUGGAUACAAAAUCCACUUAAAUAUGGAGUUGAAGCUGAAUAAUCACAGGACAAUUAUAGAACAAUGUACAUGUUGGCAAUCUCGAAGAUACUCAAAAAUAUAACCCCAAAAAUUCAGAGGGGCUCAAAUGGAAGUAUUACCUUUUUCAUCUUUCAGAGAUGGGAACUGAUCAGUAUUGUCUCAAAUUGAUACAGAAAAUUCUAAAAAGAAACUUUUUUCCCUCAUAAUCACUUUCUUUAAUCCUAGAGGAUUUUUAGGAAACCACACUAUCCUGGUGGAGAAAUGUCCAAACGACAGCAAUUCUGAGUCUCAUUUCAAUUUCUUUUGCUGAAUUCGACUAAAAUUAAAAAGUUUCUAUGCUAUCAUCCCAAGUUUAUAAAAGCAAUUCCACUUAUGAACCGUCUCUGCAAUUGAUAUCAACGGAAAAUACUCAGAUCAUGCUCUUGUUUAUGCGUGAUGGGCUUGGGAGAAUAGAAGACAUCUCUUCACCUUCAGGACUGUCUUUAUAACAAGCAUUUUUAAAACACAACAACGACGAAGGGAUUGUUAAUUUAUUACAGAGGAAAGGCUGGAGGGAGGACGCCGAGUUCCUUCUGGGGGAUGUGAAUGUGGAUGCACCUGUCUUCGGGGAAAAGUCUAGAUUCAGAAUGUUGGCGGGGCUUCCCAGUUUCCUCAAACCUGGUACUUUUCCAGCCUCAGCUUUCAUAUUCCCUCUCCUUCCAAGUCCUGUACUCUGAGCUGCAGCCACUCAGAGCUCCUUGCGAUUUCCUGACCACGCAGCCCUCUCUCAUUUCCAGACCUUUGCAUUUCUGUUUGCUCUGCUCCCAUCAGCGUCCUGCCCUUCCUCUCUGACCCUCUGCCACAUGCUCCUUUUCCUGGGUAAGGUCUACUCAGUUUUGGAAAAAAAAAUUUUUUUCUUUUACUUUUGUUAUAUAUGUAGUACAUAUACAACAUAGAAAUGACCACUUUAGCGAUUUUUAAAUGUGUAAGUUGGGGCAUCAAGAACAUUCCUAGUGUCGUGCAACCAUCACCGCUAUCCAUCUCAUCAUCCUAAACCGAAACUCUGUCCAAGUUAAACAUGAGCUCCCCAUUCCCGGCUUCCUGCAG